CCUUGUACACACCGCCCGUCACACCAUGGGAGUUGGCUUUACCCGAAGCCGGUGCGCUAACCGUAACAGGAGGCAGCCGACCACGGUAGGGUCAGCGACUGGGGUG
Molecule: ribosomal RNA, 106 nt
Filed under: uncultured bacterium
Lineage: Bacteria
Description: partial 16S ribosomal RNA
Rfam family: Bacterial small subunit ribosomal RNA
Source: RNAcentral